RNAcentral lists this ribosomal RNA (492 nucleotides) under uncultured bacterium. RNAcentral's name for it is "partial 16S ribosomal RNA". It matches the Rfam family "Bacterial small subunit ribosomal RNA", at positions 29 to 507 of the family's 1533-position model. The record is from RNAcentral.
AGUGAACGCUGGCGGUAGGCCUAACACAUGCAAGUCGAACGGCAGCACACUAAGAGCUUGCUCUUACGGGUGGCGAGUGGCGGACGUGUGAGGAAUACAUCGUAAUCUACUUUUUCGUGGGGGAUAACGUAGGGAAACUUACGCUCAUACCGCAUACGACCUACGGUUGAAAGCAGGGGAUCUUCGGACCUUGCGCGAUUGAAUGAGCUGAUGUCGGAUUAGCUAGUUGGCGGGGUAAAGGCCCACCAAGGCGACGAUCCGUAGCUGGUCUGAGAGGAUGAUCAGCCACACUGGAGCUGAGACACGGUCCAGACUCCUACGGGAGGCAGCAGUGGGGAAUAUUGGACAAUGGGCGCAAGCCUGAUCCAGCCAUACCGCGUGGGUGAAGAAGGCCUUGGGGUUGUAAAGACCUUUUGUUGGGAAAGAAAAGCAGCAGGUUAAGACCCCGCUGUUCUGACGGUACCGAAAGAAUAAGCACCGGCUAACUUCGUG